CAGCAGCCGCGGGAAUACGUAAGGUGCAAGCGUUGUUCGGAAUUAUUGGGCGUAAAGGGCAUGCAGGCGGUUAGAUAAGUCUGAAGUUAAAGGCUGUGGCUUAACCAUAGUACGCUCUGGAGACUGUUUAACUUGAGCGCAGAAGGGGAGAGUGGAAUUCCAUGGGUAGCGGUGAAAUGCGUAGAUAUAUGGAGGAACACCGGUGGCGAAAGCGGCUCUCUGGUCUGUAACUGACGCUGAGGCUCGAAAGCGUGGGGAGCAAACAGGAUUAGAUACCCCCGUAGUCCCUGUCUCUUAUACA
RNAcentral lists this ribosomal RNA (301 nucleotides) under uncultured bacterium. Its description in RNAcentral is "partial 16S ribosomal RNA". It matches the Rfam family "Bacterial small subunit ribosomal RNA", at positions 509 to 808 of the family's 1533-position model. The record is from RNAcentral.